UCCCUGGUGGCUCAGAUGGUAAUCUGCUUGCAAUGCAGGAGACCCAGGUUCGAUCCCUGGUUGGGGAA
RNAcentral lists this transfer RNA (68 nucleotides) under Ovis aries (sheep). It matches the Rfam family "tRNA". From Rfam's summary of the family: Transfer RNA (tRNA) molecules are approximately 80 nucleotides in length. Their secondary structure includes four short double-helical elements and three loops (D, anti-codon, and T loops). Lineage: Eukaryota; Metazoa; Chordata; Mammalia; Artiodactyla; Bovidae. The record is from Rfam by way of RNAcentral.